GGUAAACAGCAUCUGGACUGGGAAGAAUUAUGGAAGGGCUAUAAACGUCUGAUAAGAAUCCCAUGCUUUAUGCUUCCCUGAAUGUAGUCUCUUGAGAGGAACUAAGAAACUAUCCUCAAGGAAUUAUUACCAGAGACAACGCUUAGAGACUGAGGCUUCUUCUAAGCCAGAAAAGCCACUACACCUUCCUGACACAGAUUUUGUUUUUUUAAACUAGAAUCAUGUCACAUAGGGAGAGACAAGUCCCCAGUUUGCUUGACAAGAACCUUUUCCACCAAAAAAACAAAAUAAAACAAAAAAGUAACAAGUUUUAGUCUUGCACUAGCCAAAUAGUCAGGAACCAACACAGAAAGUCAAACUACAACUUCAUGAGGCUCACUGAUGGAAAAAGUUUCAUGAGCUUACAGUUUAAUUAUGAAGACAGGCAAAUAAAACUCAGCAGAGCACCUACCACAACAACCCAGCUUUCAAGGAAGGCUCCUGGUAGCAUGCAUUGUCGGUGCACAGCCUAUGAGUGAUUUGAAGCUGAAUAUUCAGGGAGAGGGGUUUGUACCAAAGAAACAAGGAGCUGACAGGAGGAUGACAGAAGACCAAAAAAAAACCAAUUUAGGAAUGCAAAGAAAAUAGCAAAGAGUCCUUUCCUCAAUAGGGUAAUCACAGCACAACACAAAAUGGGUUACAAGAUUAACCUAAUCACUGAGAAAAGGUUAAUUUGUGCUCUGUAUGCUGUGUUUUAACAAGAAGAGAAAAUAGGAAAUGAAUUUUCCUGACAGAAACAGCUCAGAUCAAAAAUGCUGCUGCACAAGCUUCUAUGAGGCAGAAAACUCACUUACGUGGAAACUCUGUCAUUACCACAAGGGACAAAACACAUGAGAGACAGACCCUGUGUCUCUCUUUGGGAAGAGAGGUGCUUCAGUGAAGGGCCCUGGCUCUUCCAACUAGCCCAGUCUUCUUUCCACAACUGCCCUCCCACAGCUGCCCUCAUCACCUUGGGAACAGCUCCAUUCUCGUCACCGGUGAGGUUUGCGGUUAAUUUUAUUCAAACAGACAUAAAGGCCAUAUACUCAUUUUAGGGACAUCUAUACUGCUCCAUUUGUAAUUACUUCAAA
Molecule: long non-coding RNA, 1109 nt
Organism: Fukomys damarensis (Damara mole-rat)
Lineage: Eukaryota; Metazoa; Chordata; Mammalia; Rodentia; Bathyergidae
Exons: 4
Source: RefSeq, a predicted model, not a curated record